Molecule: long non-coding RNA, 1496 nt
Organism: Rhincodon typus (whale shark)
Lineage: Eukaryota; Metazoa; Chordata; Chondrichthyes; Orectolobiformes; Rhincodontidae
Exons: 3
Source: RefSeq, a predicted model, not a curated record
ACAAACAGUCAAAUGUCUAUCGUUGAUGUUUAGUGAUAGUGGUUACAAUACAACUUCCAUUCACUUGACUCACUACUCACCCCAUGGAAAAAAACAUGCCAAAAAUGGGCCACUUGUAGUUGUUUCACAAAUGCAAUUGACAGGAAGCGAAGGAAGUUUUUUCCAGUGGGGGACGUGCUAUCAGGGCAAGUAUCAAGGGCCAAAGAGCUGCAAAAACAAGACAAACCAUGGUUGCUAGAAAUCUGUAGGAGCCUCACCCGCUUCCCUGGCCUCCCAAAGCAGAGGGGAGGCCCAGUCGGCAAUUGGGGUGAGGAAGGGAACUGGCACUGGGGCAACGGCGAGCAGACUCACACACGAGCAGACACGCACAGUGGCCAUGUGUGUGCAACAUGACUGGGAGCAAGGCCCUAUUACAAAGCGGUCCCUGUAAAUUGACCUUCCGUAAUCUCUUCAUCAAGGUGCUAAGUUUUGACCGCACUCGUGGACGCAAGUUUGAAGGAUUGGUGAAACCUGGUGCUCUCCAAGAUGCUUUUCAGAGGUACUUGAAGAUCAGAGGCUGAAUGUCCUUGACUGGGAGGGAACACUCCUGCCUGGCGAUGGUUGCAUGGUGUCCAUUAACCCGUUGUUGUAGCACCUCCAGGAUCUCACUGAUAUACCAUGCCUCAGGGUAUCCUUUCCUGCAGUGUACGAGGUAGAUAACAUUGGCCAAGUCACAUGAGUGUCAUGUGACUUCUGACGUUGUCCACCCCAGUCCAACGCUGGCAUCUCCGCAUCAAAUCAAUCAGACAGGUAUUGAUUGAAAGUGCAUAUAUAACUUUACAGAUGUUGGUAGGUACAAAGAAGUGAUGCCUGUGAAACUGAAGUGCUGUCAGAGUAUUUUAGAUUUUCUUUCUCUCCUCCUGUGUCUAGGUGCAGUUCCUAGGCUCUGCAGCUAGGACGGAGGGAGCUUGCUCUGUAGCGGAGCGUCUUGGCUUGGAAGGUUUGGGCAGAUGGCACUGGUGGAGUUUGUGGGUCCUCUAACCAAUCACGUUGAGUGUGUUCAGAUGCAGGCAUACCCUCUUCAUCUGCAACUUCCACAGGGUUACGGGAUCCAUUGUCAAGGGGGAAAUGGAGGAGCCUGGAGGAACCUCCAUUGUGCCCUGAAAGGAAAUUGUUGGGAUCUAUCUCAGAUUCUUCCUCUGGUUGGGUACCUCCUGGUAUUCCCUUGCCUCUGAGGGAGGAAGGGGCACCUGGAGUAAGGUCAAGAUCACUUAUCUUCCUUCUUGCCUUGCCAUUGAUUCUACAUACCAGUGGCUGAAGUGAUGGACGACAAGUCUGUGUACAUUUCCAACAGCCACUGAGUGUUCUCCUGGAACUGACUCUCUACAGUGACCUAACCAUGGAGACACCCAGAUGCAGCAUGGGACUUUUUAAAAAAUUAUUCAUUCAUGGGAUGAGGGCAUCUCUGGCCUGGCCAGCAUUUAUUGCCUGGGGGACAAUUAAGAGUCAACCACAUU